This 466-nucleotide ribosomal RNA is filed under the name uncultured bacterium. Its description in RNAcentral is "partial 16S ribosomal RNA". It matches the Rfam family "Bacterial small subunit ribosomal RNA", at positions 29 to 506 of the family's 1533-position model. The record is from RNAcentral.
AUGCACGCUGGCGGCGUGCUUCACCCAUGCCAGUCGCACGGUGAAGGCGGAGCUUGCUCUGCUGGAUCAGUGGCGAACGGGUGAGUAACACGUGAGCAAUCUGCCCCUGACUCUGGGAUAAGCGCUGGAAACGGCGUCUAAUACUGGAUACGAGCUGCGAAGGCAUCUUCAGCAGCUGGAAAGAACUUCGGUCAGGGAUGAGCUCGCGGCCUAUCAGCUUGUUGGUGAGGUAACGGCUCACCAAGGCGUCGACGGGUAGCCGGCCUGAGAGGGUGACCGGCCACACUGGGACUGAGACACGGCCCAGACUCCUACGGGAGGCAGCAGUGGGGAAUAUUGCACAAUGGGCGAAAGCCUGAUGCAGCAACGCCGCGUGAGGGACGACGGCCUUCGGGUGGUAAACCUCUUUUAGCAGGGAAGAAGCGAAAGUGACGGUACCUGCAGAAAAAGCGCCGGCGAACUACGG